This is a long non-coding RNA of Drosophila serrata, 847 nucleotides long. The record is from RefSeq and is a predicted model, not a curated record. NCBI's taxonomy places the organism in Eukaryota, Metazoa, Arthropoda, Insecta, Diptera, Drosophilidae.
GACCAAAUCAAGUCUCUCCAAUAUUGCUAAAGAAAAAAAUCGCUCUGGACUUUGCUCCCAGCACCAGCACCAAUCAAUUCUCUCUCCUAAGCGACAGCACGCCAAAUAACGGAAAUGAAGACGAAACUGAAACACUGGAUAUAAUAACUGAAGACACCUUAGAUGAAUCUGCCAAGCCACCACCUAUAUUCCUAUCUGAAGUCAACGAUAUUAAAGGAAUGCUAGCUUAUCUCGAGUCUAAAAUUAAAAAACAGCUCUUCUUUUAUAAAGUACAACGCGAUGGUCAUGUGAGAGUAAUGGUAAAGACCAUUGAAGAAUACAGGAAACUUGUUAAAACCCUUACUACAGACCUUGUCAAAUUCCACACAUACCAGCUUAAACAAGAAAGGGCAUUCAGAGUCGUUAUUAAGAACUUGCACUUCUCUACGGAUAUCGAUUUAAUUAAACAAGAUGUACAGUCCAAAGGCCACACUAUAUUGAGCCCAACAAUAAGAACUUAGACAUUUACAAAGUUAAAUAUAUUGGUAACGCUGUUGUUAACAUAGAACCUCCCCGCAAAACUAAAGAGAUCGUUCAGUGCUAUCGAUGCCAGGAAUUUAGACACACAAAGUCAUAUUGUGCCAAAACUCACAGGUGCGUGAAAUGUUCUUCUAACCACCCCAGCAACAUUUGUCCAAAAGAUAAAGAGCAACCAGCAAAAUGUGCCAAUUGCAAAGAAGAUCAUGCUGCUAGCUACAAAGGGUGCAAAGUCUAUCAGGAACUUAUAUCAAAAAAAUUUGUAAGCGGACUCAACCACCUGAAAAACACCAAAGAUAACAAUAAUAAAAAUGACCUUGGUACAUCUCAA